UAUCUUUAAGUGUUCUGCACGUAAACUUUUGAUGUUUAAAGGAGACUAGUCUAUAGAUAA
Molecule: transfer RNA, 60 nt
Filed under: Proasellus granadensis
Lineage: Eukaryota; Metazoa; Arthropoda; Malacostraca; Isopoda; Asellidae
Description: transfert RNA-Q(CAA)
Source: RNAcentral